CGCGUAGGCGGUUUGUACAGUCAGAUGUGAAAUUCCUGGGCUUAACCUGGGGGCUGCAUUUGAUACGUAUGGACUUGAGUGAGGAAGAGGGUCGUGGAAUUCCCAGUGUAGAGGUGAAAUUCGUAGAUAUUGGGAGAACACCGGUGGCGAAGGCGGCGACCUGGUCCUUGACUGACGCUGAGGCGCGAAAGCGUGGGGAGCAAACAGGAUUAGAUACCCUGGUAGUCCACGCUGUAAACGAUGUGUGCUGGAUGUUGGGUGACCUAGUCACUCAGUGUCGUAGCUAACGCGCUAAGCACACCGCCGUGGGGAGUACGGCCGCAAGGUUGAA
RNAcentral lists this ribosomal RNA (331 nucleotides) under uncultured bacterium. RNAcentral's name for it is "bacterial SSU rRNA". It matches the Rfam family "Bacterial small subunit ribosomal RNA", at positions 568 to 898 of the family's 1533-position model. The record is from RNAcentral.